Molecule: unclassified non-coding RNA, 238 nt
Filed under: Hevea brasiliensis (rubber tree)
Lineage: Eukaryota; Viridiplantae; Streptophyta; Magnoliopsida; Malpighiales; Euphorbiaceae
Source: RNAcentral
UUUGCCAGAUAGGGUUUAGCCCAUUCCACUAGAUUGUGUUCUCCGGACGGCCGAUUUUUAUCAAUUGCUCUCCUUCCAGAUAACAUCUCUAACAAAACAACUCCAAAGCUAUAGACAUCACUCUUGGCAGACAAAUGACCCGUGGCUAGAUAUUCUGGAGCUGCAUAUCCAUAUGUACCCAUAACCCUGGUCGAGACAUGACUCUUAUCCCCUGUUGGCCCAUCCUUGGCCAACCCAA